CGCCAUUAAGUUCUUUCUAUUUUGUCUAUCAUUCAAAAUGUUUUUGUCAUCCUCACAAGUUUCAUAAAAAAGAAAUUCAGUCUUAGCGUUUCAACCUUUUCUAAUUGUUUGUAUUGAGCCAAGGUCCUCAUCUUUCAUUAAUCAGGGAUUGAAUAUAUAGCUAAGGAUGGCUGGAAAACAUAAUGUAAUAGUACCCGCGGAAAUACUUGUGCCAAAAUUAGACAUUGCAGAGCUACGCCAGCAAUCUCCGAUGGGAAUAAUGGGAUCAUCAUCGCAGUCUCAAUCUCCGAGGGCGGGAACAUCAUCUCCAAUGGGAGUUUCAUCGCCAUCCAUGAGGAACAGGUUACAAAAGCAAGCAAGUGUUAGGGCUAAUUGUCUUUGUUCACCGACUACUCAUGCCGGAUCAUUUAGGUGCAGACUUCAUAGGAAUUCUGAGCUGAGUCGAAGUGGAAACUCAAUUGGUUCUAAACUUUCUGAACUAGUUCAUGUGACUGAUAAGGCUACUCCUCUUAGUGACACCCUUCAUGCUCAAUAGCUAAUGGAGGCAGGAAUCCAUUCAGAACUACAUUAGGGAGAAACUGUCCGGAUCAGAUGGAAGUAAGAUUCAAUUGCUCAUAAUUAGAAGGUGACCUUUUUUUCUUUUCUUUUUUUACAUUGUGCAUUUUUUUAAGGCACCCUUAGUUUGAAAUUCUAGUCACCACUGGAAUUUACAUCAACAAAGGAAACAACCAGUGAAAAGAUAUAAUGCAAAAAUAACUUCUUGAUAGAACCACUUGUAAUUAUAAUCUAA
Long non-coding RNA from Papaver somniferum (opium poppy), 790 nucleotides. RefSeq lists it as uncharacterized. The record is from RefSeq and is a predicted model, not a curated record. The transcript has 3 exons. Lineage: Eukaryota; Viridiplantae; Streptophyta; Magnoliopsida; Ranunculales; Papaveraceae.